This 1054-nucleotide transfer RNA is filed under the name Bartonella pachyuromydis. The stretch from base 390 to 463 matches the Rfam family "tRNA". The record is from RNAcentral. Lineage: Bacteria; Pseudomonadati; Pseudomonadota; Alphaproteobacteria; Hyphomicrobiales; Bartonellaceae.
CCUUUCUAAGGAUGAUCAAGAAUUGGAACUCUUUUAAUAAAGAUAUUCCUUUUUGAUCUCAUUAGACAUACAGGUCUUAAACAGUUUUGUUUAAGCCUUGCAUAUGACCACACACUUCAUAAACUGUCUCUUAAAGAGAGGUCCUCUUUGAUAAAAGAGGUACCUAGCUCUGUUGAGAAGGUUCUAUUAAGAGCUAAGUGUUCAUAUGUUUAAGUUAUACAAGCAGGCUAGCCGCCUUCGUUUCUCUUUCUUCAGAUGAUGAUCCCAAGCCUUCUGGCGAUCUCUUAAGCGCUGAAGUGUCCUCAUUUUUUAAGGGGGCUUUAAGCAGAAGAGCUUUAAAAGCUUUUGUCUGAGAAUAUGCCGGGGAAGGUUUUCCGGUUUAUCCCGGAGGGCUUGUAGCUCAGUUGGUUAGAGCGCGCGCUUGAUAAGCGUGAGGUCGGAGGUUCAAGUCCUCCCAGGCCCACCAAUUUAAUCUAUCCAUUAAAGAGCGCUUGUCCAAAAGCCUUUUUUGAAAAUGUAGCGCUUAUCUGUUUCGCUUAAAAGAGCAAAAAUUAGAUGAAGUUCAAAGACAAAAGAUCUUUGUAAAUUGAUUUUAAUUUUAAAAGUUUGGAGUGGGUUAUGCUAUUUUAGGGGCCGUAGCUCAGCUGGGAGAGCACCUGCUUUGCAAGCAGGGGGUCGUCGGUUCGAUCCCGUCCGGCUCCACCACUUUGGUCAUCAUCAUUGUUGUGAGAACAUCGUUUUGUGAGAGGUUUUUUGAUGACCUUUCGCCGGUUCUAUUGAAAUUGUGAAGAGAAGGUAUAUUCAGACAUGAUUUUUAUGCUCUGUCUUUUAAAGAUAAAGUUAUGAAAAUGAUGUGUCGCAAGGGAAUGCUCAAAGCCCUUGCAUAUGAUUGGAAGCUUAACCGCGCCACUGAGUAUAUCUCGAGAAGCUGGUCUUUUCUGCUGAUAUUUAUGUUUGUUUUGCGCUUUGUUUUGCACAAGAUAGAGAAUGCGGACAAGCAGACAAAUCAUUAAGCAACUAUAAAGGUAAGUAAUUACAAAAAGUAAAUGCUUAU